GCUGGGCAUGGUGGUGCAUGCCUGUAAUCCCAGCUACUUGGGAGGCUGAGGCAGGAGAAUCACUUGAACCCAGGAGGCGUAGGUUGCAGUGAGCCGAGAUGGCACCACUGCAUUCCAGCCUGGGCAACGGAGUGAGACUCUGUCUAAA
Unclassified non-coding RNA from Pongo abelii (Sumatran orangutan), 148 nucleotides. It matches the Rfam family "Metazoan signal recognition particle RNA". Rfam says of the family: The signal recognition particle (SRP) is a universally conserved ribonucleoprotein. It is involved in the co-translational targeting of proteins to membranes. The record is from Ensembl. NCBI's taxonomy places the organism in Eukaryota, Metazoa, Chordata, Mammalia, Primates, Hominidae.